Molecule: long non-coding RNA, 6516 nt
Organism: Cygnus olor (mute swan)
Lineage: Eukaryota; Metazoa; Chordata; Aves; Anseriformes; Anatidae
Exons: 5
Source: RefSeq, a predicted model, not a curated record
CUUUGCUCUCUUAUUUUGGGUAUUGCUGGUGUUCCAGACCUGUGUGGUCUGACAAAGAAACUACAGGACCAAAACCUUAUUGUGUUCUGUUUGAUUUUUGUAAUGACUACUCAAUCCUCCAAAUAUCAAUAUAAUGGGAAUAGAGAUACACUCUGAUUACACUCUGAUCCUCUUCUAGCUACACCAACUUGAUUAUACAUCCCAGUGGAUCCCAAAUAAGAAAUUCAGGUUCCCUUAAAUCAAAAUGCCUGCUUCUUUGUCACAUCAUUAAGAAAAAGCUAGGAAUCUGAUUAAUAGCAGACCUCCAGGCCUCUUUCGCAAAGACAAGAGAAACUCUACAAAGAAAUCAACAGCCAUUCAGGAAAUGCAAGCCUUAGAGGAGAUAAAGAAAAAGGGCUGGAUGAGUUGAGGUCAAGGAACUGGAGGAGCCAGAAUGGGACAAAUCUGAGCAAAAGAACUCGCUAGUGGGCCAGUUCCCCAUUUGUGAUCUAACAGAAAAUUAUUAUGAAAGGAAGCUUACAUAUGCCAAGAACUGCAGCAUAUCUUGUGCAUCUAAUUACAAGCCAUGUACAGUUAGAGAGUGGAUCUACAGCUGCUAAUCCCUUCUGACUUCCACAUGAAUUGAAAUGCGCAGCUGAUAAGUAUUAGGUCACAGGUUCAUCUCAUUCACUGAGAAAAGUCACCAAGUCAUGGCAAAUUGCUUCAGAGCCCAGUGGGCUCCAUUCAAAACCUACUUUCAGUUUUGGAGGCUUUUGUGGGAUUUACCUAUGGUUGUAUCCAAGUGACAGCUAAAUGUCUUUCAGAAGCUUGAUGUAAAAUACACUGAGAUCCACUGAAAAUCUUCUCGUUUAAUUUGGACUAGCCCAAAAUUUUAAUUAAGUUUUCAAGUCAGGCUCUGCCUCCUAUUAGCUCAUGAAGUUGACUUUGUCACACCAAUGUGGCAUGAGACAUUACAUCAGUUAAAUGUGGCUGGAUUGCAUUGACUUGCUCUUGCGCAUCUAUCUACUCUGUGCAUAAUGCUGGGAUGUUUGUUAGAGUUUUCCUUCUUCCUGGAGAUACCUACUUAUACGUUCUGUCAGUAUGCACGCACAUAUAUAGUCUCCUUACAACUACUUGGAACUGUUGUUUUCAUAUCCAAGCACAUCACACAUUUAAACUGUGAACAAAUAUAGGAAGCUAUCUUUGACUCCUUAUGCCCAGAAGAAAGAAUAAAAGGAAAAACAUGCAUUUUUGAGUAGGAGAAAAAAGGAUUGCUCUCAGGAGAUUUUCUCUUCAGAUACUGUGAUGAGUAAUGCUGCUGUCAGUUAUUAGGUUAUUCAGGAAUUAGCUUAAAAAAAAAAAGCUUAAUUUUAGCCUCUUUUUUUUUGGAUUGUUGUCAUUUCUAAUCCAGUGAAAAUAGGUAUCCCCCAUUGAAAUGAAGAACUCUCAGCUGGAUGUAAAAUCAAUGUCAAUUAAGAUCACAGUAGUGAUUAAGGACUUCCCACCCUGGGUCUUCAUUUGAUAUUUUACUAGUACUCUGGGAGAGAUGUAUGCAAGCAAUUUUUUUUUUAAGUAAUGGGAAGUUUCCCUACAGUAUUUGCUUUUGUACCUUUAGUAUAAGUCACCAAUUACUGAAAUAAGUAUUUUUUUCUUAUAUCUAUGUUUUCAUAGCAUAGUAUUAGGGACUGUAAUGAAUUGAUGGAUUGAUAUAGAAUCAUAGAAUGGCUUGGGUUGGAAGGGACACUUAAGGAUCAUCUAGUUCCAAAGUACUUGCCAUGGGCUGGGACACCUUCCUCUAGACCAGGUUGCUCAAAUCUGUUAUUUAGUAGCUGUUCUUGGAGAAUGUAGAAUGUACCAUAUUUUUUAAAAUUUGUGUUAAUUAUUUGAUGUGUGACUUUCUUCAAUAAAAUCCCUCUCCCUGAAUGAGAGAAUAGUAUGAGACAUAAAACCUGAAUUGAUGGCAAUAAGAAUGGGAUUUAUGUCUUGUAAUUUAAACAAAAAAAGUAUGCCUCUGAAAUCAGUUAAGUAGUUAAGGUCCUUCUCUAUGAUAUGAAAAUAACAUGGCAAUUCAAUCCACCUAUUUUAGGUACCAGUUUUAGAAUGAAUUGCCCUUUGGAAGUCACUUCUCACUCCAUUGCAGGGAGAGGAAACUUGGGAAGAGAGGGAAGACAGGAAAGAAAAAAAAAAAAGCAAUCGACUGAGCUAAUUUUGCCCUCUGAUAUUCAGUGUGAUAUGGAAUGCAGACUAAGAACAUAAUUCUAGGUUGUAAACUUCAUUAAAAUGAAUGAGACUGCCAGCUCCCAUUCCUCUAAGAAUAUUUUAAGUGGUUAAUUUUAUGGGUUGAUCCCAUGCACUUACUGGAUUUCAUGGUCAAGGUGUCAUUCAGAUUUAGAAAGGAGGAAGAGAAACUUAAGUGUCAGGGUUUGUAAAGGUAAGAGAUGUCAAGUGAACUCUUUCUGCAUGGUGUCCCCUGCACUUUUGCUCUCCCUUCACACUGUUUCAUAAGUCUGUUUUCUUUGUGCUGAUGCUGCUGGGGAAAGGCUGUAAAAGUGAUAUGAGAGCUUGGAUCUUCAUGUAUAGGCUGAGGAAUUCUGUGACCUGAACAUGGAAACUUUGCUUCCACAAGCUGAAUUUUGAGGUGCAUAGAACUGAUCAGAUGGUUUCAGCCCCCACCUAUGUUGGCAGAUCUGUGUUUGAGAACAGCCACCAUUUCUGGCACUAAUUGCAAAAUCUCCCAAGAGAGCCCUGCAUAGGGAAAGAGAAUAAAUUGCUUCCUAAAGUUCAGCAUUAGGAAGUGUACAGGGAGGCAUCAUAGGAGAAUUUUUGCUGCUCCCAUCUAUAAUAAGGUUAAAAGGUAACUUGAUCACAUUCUCUCAGUAUCUCCAGGGAGAAUGUCAAGUAUAUAGCACAGAGGUGGGAGAGGGCUCAUUAAUUUUAGACAAAGUCAUAACAAGAAACAGUAGCUGGAGAUUGAAACUUGAUGAAUUAAAAAUGAAAGGAGGAUUUUUUUAUUUCUAAUUUAUUUUUUUUAACAGAGGUAAUUAACAACUUGGCCUGACCACUCAGAGGAAAUUCAAAGUUUUCCAUCAUUUUCAAUCUUUAAAUUGCAAUGAGAUAGUUUUCUAAGAGGGCAGAUUCAACCAUUCCAGAAGUUAUUGAACUGAGUAGAGGAAUUCCUGUGUGGAGUGUUGUCAUAAACAUUACCAACACUAGCUGUGUGUAAUAUAGCCUUUCAAGGCUAUUUUGUUGAAUGUUGAGUUCUUAUGAUAUUUUACCUGCACAUUUCUGCAUGCAUGUACACUUCUUCUGGGCUAUUUGUGCAGUUCUCUUAAUUUUUAACUGCACCAUAAACAACUGCCUUCAUAACAGUGCUGCUCGAAAGCAAAAUUGAGGAAAAAGUGCAAAUUGUUGUGGCUCUUGUAACUCAUUCUCAAGCUUCUCUCUGAGAUUCUCUGAACUCCGUCCUAACAGACAGCAACGUGUCUUAAAUCCACAUCUUUGUAGGAAGAAAAUAUUCAUGUCUCUGGGGCUUUUCUUAGUCUGUCCUUAUUGUCCUUGUAAUUCCUAGACGUUCCUUGUACAGUCUUCUCUCUGUAAAUCUACAAGUUCUUUCAAUGACAUUUUUCCUUCUCCAUGGGCUCAUUUCUCUGGCCUCAGUCCAAUGAAGAUCUAAAUGACCUCCUUACACACUAAUCAAUUAUCCUCACUUUCUAUCAGCUGCAGGUGGAAGUUCUACCAUGCUGUAGAGGAUGAGCAGAGCAAUGAGCUUGCUAGAGCAAAAGAGGGAGAUGAGAUAAAACAAGAUAUGUGUUUAGCACCCGUAUCAGGAAUCAGCACUCAUUUUCAUAAUGAAUUUGCCUGUGUUCAUCAUCACUGCAGCCUUUCAUUAGAAAGAUGACAGCUGAGGUUUCUGUGUCUGCCAUUUCCAUGGUACCCCAGCAGUAGGUUGCUCAAGCAAAGAUCUCUUACUUUAAUCACUGUUGGGAAGUGUUGGGUUGUGGGUGGGACUGGGGAUGUUUCUGGCAAGAUAGGGAAGAGAAGAGAAUUAAAGGAAAGCUUUCUGUGCCUACACCUUGUCAGCUUACCACUAAUAUAUGUGCUUCUGAACUCUUCUUAACUCACUUCUUUAUUGAUUUAUUUCCACACGUGGUACUUCAUGAUGAAGGAAUACUGUUCACCCUUCCCCCUGAAAUAUGGUUACCUCUGCGGGGGAUUGUGAUAUGUAUUUAGUGCCAACCAGACAAAUGAUAUUUCAGAAAAAGAUGAUGGGAAAAACAGCAGAUUUGGCUGACGUAUAGCAGAAACUAAGGAAGUAGAAACAUUGCCACACCAUUUGUGGAGUCCAUUUAAACAAUAUAUAAACACAGUAUGCUCAUGUGGCUAAACAGGCUUUGUCUGUAUCUGGUUUAGGGAAGUACAAAUCUGGGCUUUUUAGCCACACACUUCAAGACUUUGAUAUUAGUUUACAGGAAAUAAUUCAUCUUUCAGGAAAGUUGGUGGGAGAGCCAACUAAGCUGAAUUGUCAGGUUUAGGUAAGCUGGUUUUCAAACACCUGGUUGACAACACCUGCCAGUGUUGUCCCUUGGCAGUAGCCAGGGACUAUAUGUCAUCUGUAUGAAGGAGCACAGAAGUGCAAUUGUUUUUCUUUGCUGGAUGGGAUUUAUCUGAUGAGUCUUCUGUUGUCUCUUUGGCAGCACAAAGUGCUCAAAAAAAGAGGCUUUGAAAAAAGUAGUAUUUAUGUGUAGAUAGAAGCUAGCAAUGCACACAGAGUGGCUUCGCUCGAGAUGUAAAGGCAUCGAAGCUUUGCUUUAUAUGCUUCAGCUUUUCCAGUCUUAGCAGACAUAAGUACUGGGUGAGGUCUCAUGUAAAGUGGAGACAGAGGAAUGAUUAUCUGUUUAUCUUUCUUUCCUUUCAGAGCGGAACAAUGAAAUCAACAGAACACUCCUCCCCUCCUUCUCUCUUCCUAGCAAAUAAACCUUGUUUUAGAAAAAUUAGAAUGCAUAGUGGAUAAAGGAAGGUCACCUAGGUCUUGGAUCUGCUUCCUUCAUUAGCAGCAAAUUGUCAUGUAGUGAUUGCUCCUUCUAGUAUCAGUGCUGGAGCAUUUAACUAGUCAGAAGAGCUUACAGAUGCCACAUGAGAAAGCCAGUGAUGCAUUUAAUAUAUUGCAGGAAUCAUAAAUAGCUAAGACAAGGGCUGGUUAUUGCUUAGUUCAAUAUUGUUGUUUAAUAGGAACUCUAAAUACACUCUGCUGGGUUAAAUAUUGUACUAUUAACUUCAGAGAUAAUGAUCUUUCUAGAUUGAAUGAGGGACAAUCAUAUUAUGGUGUGAUGCAUUUCUCUGAGCUCCCCAUAUGUGAGCAGGGUAAUUGAGGGGACAAGCAAUUCUGUAAGCCAUCCUGAGGGUCAAAUUCUCUCAUUGUACAGGCUUUCCAUUCCCAGAGAGGUCAGGAGGACUUGCUCUAUGAAUAUAAAAGCAUUAGAUGUCCUGCUUUGUAUAUUUGUAAAGCACCCAUGAACUCAGUGUCCCAGUCUGUGGAUAUUAUCAAUCUCUAACUAAUUAUAUUUAUUCCACAAAACUGCGUAUUAGUUCCAAAGACAGCAAUUUAUCUAGGCUUUUCCCUCAUCCUUUCUUAUAAGUAACUAUUUGAAUGAUGAAAUUAGUUGUCUGUGUUGAUCUUUUCCUUUCUCUCUUGUCUAAGUGAGCUAGAAGAAAAACAAAAAAGGGCUCAGUAGAGAAAGGAGUCCUGUUUCUAAAACAGCAGUAACGUUCUUGGAAAAUGUCCUACCCUUAAACCCAGCUGAAUAGUUCAAUGAUGACAUAGAUCACAUAGACUGUAGGAGUGGAAGCUUUUAUGAUAUAUAGGAAUACAUUUUUAGCUGGCCAAACAGAAAGGAAACCUGGAGGAUGAAAGAAAUGCCCACAAUUGCAAGCCACUGUUGCUUGCAACAGUCUAUUCACUUAACUUAUAUUGUGCAUUUGGUACUGGAUUGCCUCUCUUUUUCUACUUAUGUUCUCAAUUCCUGUUUUGUUCAGUGCUGUAUUUAAAUGCUUCAUUUAAAGGAUUCAGAGUUACUGGGAAGAGGAAAUUACAUGCAUGCAUAUACACGUGUGUAUAUAUUAUAUAUAUAUAAAGUCAGUAACAAGGCCUUUUUUUGUAGGUUUUUCUGUUUCUGUUUGAGAUUUAACCCUUUACCCUCAUUAUGUUUUUGCUUUAAAUUCAGGGCUUUUAGAUAGCAAAUUAAUGCUGUCUAUAUUGACAAACGCUACCAAAAGUUGGCAUUUGGUAGUCAGGAGGAACUUACAUCUCAAUUCUGUUAUCCCUGCUCCAAAUGACCAUUUGAAUUUGUAUGAUGGACUUUCCAGGUCUGCAAAAACUUCACACAGACAUAUUGAAGGAAGAUUGAGUUGGUUAGUUAUGUGAACCAUUUCCUAACUUUUUGUUGUAAGACACAGAACUUUGUGAAUCUCUUCAAGUCAAAAUUAAAUGUAAUUUACCUUACUUGCUCUGUUUUCCUGAGUAAUGGUGAAUUGGGAAUG